RNAcentral lists this ribosomal RNA (628 nucleotides) under Pseudomonas sp. Horo_5. RNAcentral's name for it is "bacterial SSU rRNA". It matches the Rfam family "Bacterial small subunit ribosomal RNA", at positions 56 to 680 of the family's 1533-position model. The record is from RNAcentral. Lineage: Bacteria; Pseudomonadati; Pseudomonadota; Gammaproteobacteria; Pseudomonadales; Pseudomonadaceae.
UGCAGUCGAGCGGAUGAAGGGAGCUUGCUCCUGGAUUCAGCGGCGGACGGGUGAGUAAUGCCUAGGAAUCUGCCUGGUAGUGGGGGAUAACGUCCGGAAACGGGCGCUAAUACCGCAUACGUCCUGAGGGAGAAAGUGGGGGAUCUUCGGACCUCACGCUAUCAGAUGAGCCUAGGUCGGAUUAGCUAGUUGGUGGGGUAAAGGCCUACCAAGGCGACGAUCCGUAACUGGUCUGAGAGGAUGAUCAGUCACACUGGAACUGAGACACGGUCCAGACUCCUACGGGAGGCAGCAGUGGGGAAUAUUGGACAAUGGGCGAAAGCCUGAUCCAGCCAUGCCGCGUGUGUGAAGAAGGUCUUCGGAUUGUAAAGCACUUUAAGUUGGGAGGAAGGGCAGUAAGUUAAUACCUUGCUGUUUUGACGUUACCAACAGAAUAAGCACCGGCUAACUUCGUGCCAGCAGCCGCGGUAAUACGAAGGGUGCAAGCGUUAAUCGGAUAAACUGGGCGUAAAGCGCGCGUAGGUGGUUCAGCAAGUUGGAUGUGAAAUCCCCGGGCUCAACCUGGGAACUGCAUCCAAAACUACUGAGCUAGAGUACGGUAGAGGGUGGUGGAAUUUCCUGUGUAGCG